UGUGAGAGUGAUGAGUUGCACUGAUCAGUCAGGGUGUCUGCUGCAGUGGUAUCAGCACUCUGACCUGACUCUACCUGAGGACACACCGCGUGCACAGGGGCCAUCUGACUCUAU
Molecule: non-coding RNA, 114 nt
Organism: Xyrichtys novacula (pearly razorfish)
Lineage: Eukaryota; Metazoa; Chordata; Actinopteri; Labriformes; Labridae
Source: the annotation of a GenBank genome assembly